This 443-nucleotide ribosomal RNA is filed under the name uncultured Leptolinea sp. Its description in RNAcentral is "bacterial SSU rRNA". It matches the Rfam family "Bacterial small subunit ribosomal RNA", at positions 925 to 1382 of the family's 1533-position model. Lineage: Bacteria; Bacillati; Chloroflexota; Anaerolineae; Anaerolineales; Anaerolineaceae. The record is from RNAcentral.
ACAAGCAGCGGAGCGUGUGGUUUAAUUCGAUGUUACACGAAGAACCUUACCAGGGUUUGACAUGCAAGUGUAGGAAUCCGAAAGGUGACCGACCCUUCGGGGAGCUUGCACAGGUGCUGCAUGGCUGUCGUCAGCUCGUGUCGUGAGAUGUUCGGUUAAGUCCGCUAACGAGCGCAACCCUCGUCGUGUGUUAUACGUGUCACACGAUACUGCCGGUAUCAAGCCGGAGGAAGGUGGGGAUGAUGUCAAGUCAGCAUGGCCUUUAUAUCCUGGGCUACACACACGCUACAAUGGCAGAUACAAUAGGUUGCGAAACCGCGAGGUGGAGCCAAUCCUCAAAGUCUGUCUCAGUUCAGAUUGUAGGCUGCAACUCGCCUGCAUGAAGUUGGAGUUGCUAGUAAACGCAGGUCAGCUAUACUGCGUUGAAUACGUUCCCGGGGUUU